Long non-coding RNA from Esox lucius (northern pike), 495 nucleotides. RefSeq lists it as uncharacterized. The record is from RefSeq and is a predicted model, not a curated record. NCBI's taxonomy places the organism in Eukaryota, Metazoa, Chordata, Actinopteri, Esociformes, Esocidae. The transcript is spliced from 5 exons.
UCACCAAAAGCAUCAGGACAGAGUUACAGCAUCACUAACAUCACAUCUGAGGACAGUGGAGAAUAUUACUGUGAGGCUCAGAAUAAAUACGGACGUCUAAACUCAUCUACUUUGUCUGUGGAUGUUCAAUAUGUUGACGAGUGUACGGCUCAUUCUCAAAUCUGUGGGGAAAAUUCAACUUGCCUCAACACCAAUGGCAGCUACUCCUGUCACUGUCUUCCUGGGUUCAAAAGUAACAGGAUUGGACUGUGUGUUGACAUAAACGAGUGUGUGGAGGAGAAACGUUACUGUGGAAACGAAGGGCUUUGUCACAACCUGAUUGGCAGCUACUGGUGUCAAUGCUCAUCUGGAUCGACCAACUAUGGCCACAAAGGAACUAAAUGUGUCGAGCUCAGUUGUGACCCGCAAGAAGCGCAGCCUGGAAAGACUCUUCCAGGCCUUGGCAGUCUCAUGUCUCUGGUGAGAGAAAACUGUUUGUGGUUGAGGAACUCUUCA